Molecule: long non-coding RNA, 2110 nt
Filed under: Coturnix japonica (Japanese quail)
Lineage: Eukaryota; Metazoa; Chordata; Aves; Galliformes; Phasianidae
Description: lncRNA (ENSCJPG00005002104.1)
Source: RNAcentral
GUGGGGGUCCCAUAAUGAGGGUGGGGGUCCCAUAAUUAGGGUGGGGGUCCCAUAAUGAGGGUGGGGGUCCCAUAAUUAGGGUGGGGGUCCCUUUAUUGGGUGGGGGUCCCAUAAUGAGGGUGGGGGUCCCAUUAUUGUUGGGGUCCCAUUAAUUAGGGUGGCAUCCCAUAAUUAGGGUGGGGGUCCCAUAAUGAGGGUGGGGAUCCCAUAUUAGGGUGGGGGUCCCAUUAAUUAAUGAGGGUGGGGGUCCCAUUAAUUAAUGAGGGUGGGGGUCCCAUAUACCGUUGCUGUGCCCCACAUGUAUGACUCCACUAUUGGGGUUCUGGGCCAUGGCCGCCGGGCGCCCCCCCCUGGUACAAAUGGCCGCCACCUCCGACCCCACGGACACGUCCAGGUACUGCAGGUAACCCCCCGAGUUCUGGGGGGGCAACGGGGGCACCCAUAAGCACCCAUGGGAUCCUAUGGGCUCCUAUGGGAUCCUAUGGGAUCAUAUGGGGCGCCCAUGGGCACCUAUGGGCUCCUAUGGGAUCCUAUGGGCUCCUAUGGGAUCCUAUGGGCUCCUAUGGGAUCAUAGGGGAUCAUAUGGGAUCCUAUGGGCACCUAUGGGCUCCUAUGGGGGUCCAUUGACUUCUAUGGAAUCCUAUGGGCUCCUAUGGGAUCCUAUGGGGUCCUAUGGGAUCCUAUGGGCUCCUAUGGGAUCCUAUGGGCACCUAUGGGAUCCUAUGGGAUCCUAUGAGCACCUAUGGGAUCCUAUGGGCACCUGCAGGUAACCCCCCGAGUUCUGGGGGGGCAACGGGGGAACCCAUAAGCACCCAUGGGAUCAUAGGGGGUCAUAUGGGAUCAUAUGGGGUCCUAUGGGGUCCUAUGGGAUCAUAUGGGAUCCUAUGGGAUCCUAUGGGAUCAUAUGGGAUCAUAUGGGAUCAUAUGGGCACCUGCAGGUAACCCCCCGAGUUCUGGGGGGGCAACGGGGGAACCCAUAAGCACCCAUGGGAUCAUAGGGGAUCAUAGGGGAUCCUAUGGGUGCCCAUUGACUUCUAUGGGCUCCUAUGGGCACCUAUGGGAUCAUAUGGGAUCCUAUGGGGGCCCAUUGACUUCUAUGGGCUCCUAUAGGCUCCUAUGGGCACCCAUCAAGCACCCAUGGGAUCAUAUGGGAUCAUAUGGGCACCCAUGGGAUCAUAUGGGCUCCUAUGGGCACCUAUGGGCACCUAUGGGCUCCUAUGGACACCUAUGGGCUCCUAUGGGCACCUAUGGGAUCCUAUGGGCACCCAUCAGCACCCAUGGGAUCCUAUGGGCACCCAUUGACUCCCAUUGGCACCCAUGGGUGCUCAUUGACACCCAUUGACUCCCAUUGAUACCCAUUGACUCCCAUUGACACCCAUUGACUCCCAUUGACUCCCAUUGACUCCCAUUGACUCCCACUGACUCCCAUUGACACCCAUUGACUCCCAUUGACUCCCAUUGACACCCAUUGACUCCCAUUGACUCCCAUUGGCACCCAUCUGACUCGCCAUUGGUACUCCUAUAUGACACCCAUUGACUGCCAUUGACUCCCAUUGACACCCAUUGACUCCCAUUGACUCCCCAUUGGCACCCAUUGAACUCCGCAAUGACACCCAUUGAACCUCCCAAUUGACACCAUUAACCGUCAUUGACUCCUCAUAUCCCCCCCAUAUUCCCCCGCCCAUAUCCCCAUUCCCAUAUCUCCCCCCAUAUCUCCCCCCAUAUCCCAUCCCAUAUCCCCAUCCCAUAUCCCCCCUAUAUAGGCCCCCAUAACCCCCCUUAAUAUCCCCACCACCAUAUCUCCCCCUUAUAUCCCAUCCCAUAUCCCCAUCCCAUAUCCCCCCUAUAAUGCCCCCAUAAACCCUCCCAUAUCCCCAUCCAUAAUCUCCCCGCAUAUCCCACCCAUAUCUCCCCCCAUAUCCCCAUCCCAUAUCUCCCCCCAUAUCCCCACCCCAUAUCUCCCCCCAUAUCCCCACCCCAUAUCUCCCCAUAUCCCACCCCAUAUCUCCCCCCAUAUCCCCAUCCAUAUCUCCCCCCAUAUCCCACCACCAUUAAUCUCCCCCAAUAUCCCCACCCCAUAUCUCCCGGCCCCAUAUCCCCACCCAUAUCU